RNAcentral lists this non-coding RNA (26 nucleotides) under Drosophila melanogaster (fruit fly). Lineage: Eukaryota; Metazoa; Arthropoda; Insecta; Diptera; Drosophilidae. The record is from RNAcentral.
UACUCAGAUACAGACGGUUCGACGAU